UGUAGAGGUUUCCACAUAGACAUCCAGUAUAUUCUGUGAACAUGAAAAAUCUUUUCUCUAAAUCAGAAGUCAUUUUUACAAGAUGACAAGCAAUUUUGAAUUAGUUCUUUCGUGCGAGCUUUUCACAAUUUUAGUGCUAACCUUGCUGUAUAUCCGUAAUCUUGCAGUGGUGGGAUGAAUGGUUACAUUUUUGUUUCUAAUAGACCAGUGUAGCCUGCGCAAAUAGAUUCACCAAUUAGUGGCAUGGAUAUGAUUGCUGAUAAUAAAGUCUUGUCAGUGUUCUACAAGUGUCCAGCCUUCCAUGUACACAUUCCUAGACCACCAAGUGGAGUUCAUUAUCCAAAUAAGUCUAUCCUCAAGAAGCAUGUUAAACCCACACCAUUUUUUUGGCAUGAGAAGUCUGCUGUUGUUGGACGGUUGCAUUCUUUAAGCUAAACAAAUGGACUCACAACAAAGACAAGUGCACAAAGGAUGAUGAAUUGAAGGAUGGAGCAAGUUUCACGCAUGGUUUACUUUUGUGUAUCUUGUAAUGUUUCUAUUUUUCAUUUUUGAAGUAAAAAUUGUUCAAGAUUAUAAAACUUUAUUAUGUUAUGCUUUCAAACUUAAGUUAGAACU
Molecule: long non-coding RNA, 615 nt
Organism: Humulus lupulus (European hop)
Lineage: Eukaryota; Viridiplantae; Streptophyta; Magnoliopsida; Rosales; Cannabaceae
Exons: 4
Source: RefSeq, a predicted model, not a curated record